UACCUUCAAAUUGGAUUCUGGAAGUGUGCUUGGAUCAUUACAUUGAACUUAAAAUAAUCAUGGUGUAUAACGACUGGUGAUGGGAUAAAAGGUUUAUUCAAUUUACUGUUAAUGGGACAAAAUGUAGUCUUGGACAACUUGAUUGUGGAUUACAAAUUGAUCUUGGUAUGGCUUUCUUUCUUGGCUCAUUACUGCACAUUUCCGUUAUUAGCAAGGACAGUUUUGGACUCAAUUUCAUGUUUGCUGUUUUCAAAUUGUAAUUUCAUCUCAUUUAAUUACAGUUUUAUAUGUUUCGACAAUUGUUUAAAAA
Molecule: non-coding RNA, 310 nt
Organism: Tetranychus urticae (two-spotted spider mite)
Lineage: Eukaryota; Metazoa; Arthropoda; Arachnida; Trombidiformes; Tetranychidae
Source: RefSeq, a predicted model, not a curated record